Molecule: ribosomal RNA, 253 nt
Filed under: uncultured prokaryote
Description: partial 16S ribosomal RNA
Rfam family: Bacterial small subunit ribosomal RNA
Source: RNAcentral
GACGAACCGUGCGAACGUUGUUCGGAUUCACUGGGCUUAAAGGGCGCGUAGGCGGGCAUCCGCGUCCGGGGUGAAAUCCUUCGGCCCAACCGAAGAAUUGCCUCGGAUACGGGGUGCCUCGAGGGAGGUAGGGGCGCGUGGAACUUCCGGUGGAGCGGUGAAAUGCGUAGAUAUCGGAAGGAACGCCGGUGGCGAAAGCGACGCGCUGGACCUCUACUGACGCUGAGGCGCGAAAGCCAGGGGAGCGAACGGG